CCUACGGGAGGCAGCAGUGGGGAAUAUUGGACAAUGGGCGAAAGCCUGAUCCAGCCAUGCCGCGUGUGUGAAGAAGGCCUUCGGGUUGUAAAGCACUUUCAGUGGGGAAGAAAGCCUUGGGGCUAAUACCCUCGAGGAAGGACAUCACCCACAGAAGAAGCACCGGCUAACUCCGUGCCAGCAGCCGCGGUAAUACGGAGGGUGCGAGCGUUAAUCGGAAUUACUGGGCGUAAAGCGCGCGUAGGCGGUCUGAUAAGCCGGUUGUGAAAGCCCCGGGCUCAACCUGGGAACGGCAUCCGGAACGGUCAGGCUAGAGUGCAGGAGAGGAAGGUAGAAUUCCCGGUGUAGCGGUGAAAUGCGUAGAGAUCGGGAGGAAUACCAGUGGCGAAGGCGGCCUUCUGGACUGACACUGACGCUGAGGUGCGAAAGCGUGGGUAGCAAACAGGAUUAGAUACCCGAGUAGUC
Molecule: ribosomal RNA, 465 nt
Filed under: Vreelandella stevensii
Lineage: Bacteria; Pseudomonadati; Pseudomonadota; Gammaproteobacteria; Oceanospirillales; Halomonadaceae
Description: partial 16S ribosomal RNA
Rfam family: Bacterial small subunit ribosomal RNA
Source: RNAcentral